CUCAGGAUGGCCGAGCGGUUUAAGGCGCUGCGUUCAGGUCGCAGUCCGGUCUUCCGGGCGUGGGUUCGAAUCCUACUUCUGACA
RNAcentral lists this transfer RNA (84 nucleotides) under Ixodes scapularis (black-legged tick). RNAcentral describes it as "tRNA-Leu". It matches the Rfam family "tRNA". From Rfam's summary of the family: Transfer RNA (tRNA) molecules are approximately 80 nucleotides in length. Their secondary structure includes four short double-helical elements and three loops (D, anti-codon, and T loops). Further hydrogen bonds mediate the characteristic L-shaped molecular structure. tRNAs have two regions of fundamental functional importance: the anti-codon, which is responsible for specific mRNA codon recognition, and the 3' end, to which the tRNAs corresponding amino acid is attached (by aminoacyl-tRNA synthetases). tRNAs cope with the degeneracy of the genetic code in two manners: having more than one tRNA (with a specific anti-codon) for a particular amino acid; and 'wobble' base-pairing, i.e. permitting non-standard base-pairing at the 3rd anti-codon position. Lineage: Eukaryota; Metazoa; Arthropoda; Arachnida; Ixodida; Ixodidae. The record is from Rfam by way of RNAcentral.